Molecule: long non-coding RNA, 1643 nt
Organism: Canis lupus familiaris (dog)
Lineage: Eukaryota; Metazoa; Chordata; Mammalia; Carnivora; Canidae
Exons: 2
Source: RefSeq, a predicted model, not a curated record
UGGGGGGACUGGGCCUGAGGCCCACGCACGGCCUGGAGGUGGGCAGGGAAGAGGAUUAGCCUGGAAGAGGAAGAGCCAGGCACUGGCUUGGGUCACAGGGCAAGAGAUGCAGAAGGUGACAGGUGGGGUCGGGCAGUGCCCCCCGCGACCACCUCCAGCAGCAGGGCAGGGGCUCUGUUUCUGCGUCCAGGCAGUGGCUUGCACAGGGAGCAGGGGCCAGACUUGCAGCAUCAGUUGUGGGGAAGCAGGAGGCUGGAUGGACAUCAUGGCAGGUCGGGGAUGCACCCAGAGUGCUGCUGCCAGCCUGGCACCCCGGUUUCUGGCUUUAGCCACGUGCAGAGGUGAGGCCCUGUUGUGAAGCCACGGGAGGCCUGGACGCCUGGGUCUCAUCCUUGGUUUCCCGUCGCAGUCUCGGGGUAAAGAUCACGAGAGUAGGAACUACGUGUGAGUGAGAAAGUGGUGACCCCUGGGGAGGUGGCUGUGGGGGGGGCCCAGCCGCAUAAUCAUCCUUGGCAGCGUGCACAGCAAAGGUGUGAGCAGACAGCCUGACUGCUACCGGGCCACUGUCUGGGGUCCCUCACCCCCGCCCUGUGGCACAGGGAGCGCUGCCACCCACUCUGUCUACUGAGUUCACGGGAAAGCGAGGCCUGGAAACGUGCCCUGGAAGCAAAGCGAGGAGCCAGCUGCUCCAUCACAGGCCACUGGCUGUGGCUCCCAGGAAUCUUGGGUCUGACACACAGAAGCGCUUGGGGCCUCCUUGGUUCCUGCUCCACCAGGAUGAAACUACGCGAUAAACUCCAGCCUGGAACCCUGCUCUGCUGGAACAGCAGGACGCAGGGGAGGGGCCCAGGGACUCCUGGCCCGGGUGUCUGUGCUCCUGAUCCCCACACUGGGAGCCUGUUUCUCCACCUGUGAAACGGCAUAGUUCUGUGGCACGUUCCGGGCAGCCAGAGUGGGGCAGCACAUGCAGAGGCCUGGCCCGGUGCUUCCUGGCAUGGGACAAGGUGGCAGUGAUGAGCCUGCACAGCCCGCUCCACUCCCACAGGCGCACCUGACCAAAUGACCAGCCGGCCACCGUGAGGCCUCACAGAGGGGCUAGAGCCCCAACUUCCAGGCAUGCCUCGGUGUGCUCAGUGCUGGCGGGUGAACGAACCCCCCUGGGCACCAGUCCAGACGAAGUAUGUGGCUCUGACUUCCCCUCUGACUUGAAUCUGGCAGCCAGCAGGCCAAGCCAGCAGGAACCUAGCCUCGCCCAGGGCAGCCCUUGGGACCUCGUUCCAGACAGACAGCAGCGCUCAAGCCCGCCUGCCCACCUCCGCUCCCCCGGGAGCCUGCCCAGCGCCUGCCCAGCACCCGCAGAUGGCUUUACACGGCAGAAGCACCAUCUUCUACUUGGUCUGUGCACAGGCCUGGGAGGAUGAGACAGUGACCUAAAGAUAAACUGGUUUUCCUUGCAUUUUCUAAAACGAAGUUUUUAUUAUGAGUCAAUUUUAGAUUUACAGAAAAGUGGCAAAGACUGAGCUUUGCUGUAGGCUCCCCACUCUGUUUCCCCUAAUGUGACAACUUACACAGGCGUGGUGUAGCUGUCACCGAGAUGAACUUUGGCACCGGGCAUUAAACUCCAGACUUGUCCUCGGACUUCA